This is a non-coding RNA of Paramuricea clavata, 463 nucleotides long. The record is from the annotation of a GenBank genome assembly. Lineage: Eukaryota; Metazoa; Cnidaria; Anthozoa; Malacalcyonacea; Plexauridae.
CCGCUUACGAGAUGUGGUGUCCGCAAGAAGAGAUUCGAUUGAUAAACAAACGAGUCACUAAUAAUAAUAAUAAUAAUAAUAAUAAUAAUAAUAAUAAUAAUAAUUACAAUAUUGAAUCAGGAGGUCCACUCACAAAGUGAUUUUCAGUGGAGCCCUGAGCAAGAAAAAUAAUUGAAGUUACUGUAAUGUUAAACCUAUGGCUAUGUCAUAUCGCGUCCCAUCACUUCAGCAGAGUGUCUUAUAUAGCUAGUGUCAAACGUUUCGGUUAGGUUCAAUUUCCGAUUAUGCAAAUUGUUCUAUUUCCCGGAGUUCCACAACCAGACUGCAUGUUCCAGUCGUUGACAACAUGGCAGCCGAAUGUCUGCUUAUCCCAGUUCUUCUCGACGCGUUCCAAAUGUAAGUUCUGUUUGUUUCGGUUGUUGUAGCUGUGGAGGUCAGACGACUACUUAAGUGCAUAGCUUUU